RNAcentral lists this ribosomal RNA (425 nucleotides) under uncultured bacterium. Its description in RNAcentral is "bacterial SSU rRNA". It matches the Rfam family "Bacterial small subunit ribosomal RNA", at positions 66 to 507 of the family's 1533-position model. The record is from RNAcentral.
GCGAGAUGAUCUCUUCGGGGAGAUUCUAGCGGCGGACGGGUGAGUAACACGUGGGUAACCUGCCUCAAAGAGGGGGAUAGCCUCCCGAAAGGGAGAUUAAUACCGCAUAACAUUAUUUUCUCGCAUGAGAAGAUAAUCAAAGGAGCAAUCCGCUUUGAGAUGGACCCGCGGCGCAUUAGCUAGUUGGUGAGGUAACGGCUCACCAAGGCGACGAUGCGUAGCCGACCUGAGAGGGUGAUCGGCCACAUUGGAACUGAGACACGGUCCAGACUCCUACGGGAGGCAGCAGUGGGGAAUAUUGCGCAAUGGGGGAAACCCUGACGCAAGCAACGCCGCGUGAGUGAUGAAGGUCUUCGGAUUGUAAAGCUCUGUCUUUGGGGACGAUAAUGACGGUACCCAAGGAGGAAGCCACGGCUAACUACGUG